This 72-nucleotide transfer RNA is filed under the name Phycisphaerales bacterium. It matches the Rfam family "tRNA". From Rfam's summary of the family: Transfer RNA (tRNA) molecules are approximately 80 nucleotides in length. Their secondary structure includes four short double-helical elements and three loops (D, anti-codon, and T loops). Lineage: Bacteria; Pseudomonadati; Planctomycetota; Phycisphaerae; Phycisphaerales. The record is from Rfam by way of RNAcentral.
GCCACCGUAGCUCAGUGGUAGAGCACUCCCUUGGUAAGGGAGAGGUCGUGGGUUCAAGUCCCACUGGUGGCU